UACGGGGGGGGCAAGCGUUGUUCGGAAUUACUGGGCGUAAAGGGCUCGUAGGCGGCCAACUAAGUCAGACGUGAAAUCCCUCGGCUUAACCGGGGAACUGCGUCUGAUACUGGAUGGCUUGAGAUUGGGAGAGGGAUGCGGAAUUCCAGGUGUAGCGGUGAGAUGCGUAGAUAUCUGGAGGAACACCGGUGGCGAAGGCGGCAUCCUGGACCAACACUGACGCUGAGGAGCGAAAGCCAGGGGAGCAAACGGG
Molecule: ribosomal RNA, 253 nt
Filed under: uncultured bacterium
Lineage: Bacteria
Description: partial 16S ribosomal RNA
Rfam family: Bacterial small subunit ribosomal RNA
Source: RNAcentral